Molecule: long non-coding RNA, 1070 nt
Filed under: Homo sapiens (human)
Lineage: Eukaryota; Metazoa; Chordata; Mammalia; Primates; Hominidae
Description: HSALNT0143655
Source: RNAcentral
GUGAGGACUUUAUCCAGAAGUAAAGGCUGGAGCUGGCUGGGACCUCAUUGAGUGAACAGGAUGAAGAAGACAUUACCAGCUGAGAAAACAGACAAAGGCACAGAGGCAUGGCUGAGAAGAAAGCAUUAAGAAGACCACAAACAGCCAGGUGUGAUGGUGCAUGUCUGUAGUCCCAGCUACUCAGGAAGCUGAGGCCAGAGGAUUACUUGAGCCCAGGAGUUUUAGGCUACAGUGAGCAACAAUUACACCACUGCACUCCAGCCUGAGCAACAGGGCAAGACUCUGUCUCAAAAAACAAAUAAACAAACAAAAGAAACAAACAACUGGGAAUGCCAUACACCUGGGAAGAGUUAGGAGCAAUGCAGCUGGAGAAGGCAGCAGAAACAGGCUGAGCAAGCCUCAUGGGCUUUAUCCUGAAGGCAGCUGUGGACCACUGAAGAUUUUCAGGCAGGGAAAUGAUACGACAGAUUUGCAUUUUAGGAACAAGGGUCCCUCCUUCUGGAUUGAUAAGGGUGGGAACAUUCAAGCUACCGAUAAGACCUCUGCACCCAGCUCCUGUCCCUCCACUCCCUACGGCUCAGCUUUGAAGUUCCAAAAACCCUGCCUCUGUGACCUGAUUGUGUUAUCUUCAUAACCAAGCUCAUGUUGCAUGUGGAUGGCUGCAGCUCAGCAGCUGUAGAAUCUGCACCACCUGUCUUAUGCUGAGAUCCAGCCUGGAGGAACACCCCUCUGUGGAAUGUGGCACUCUCUUGGCAGAAAGAGCAAGAAAGCAGGCAGAAACUCAUGAAGACUCUUAAAGGCUUCUGCUUGGGCACGGGGUAUGUUUCAUCUACUCACAGUCCACUGGCCAACACAAGUCACAUGGUCAAACCCCAAGUCCAUCCGUGAGUCAGGAGUUGUAUCCUCCUCCCUCCUAUGGGAGACACUGCAAGUCACAUGACAUUACAGGGAAAGGGGUCACGUGUAGUCCUCUUAAAAGGAAGGGACAGGCCGUCCGGGAGGUGAGGGGCGCCUCUGCCCGGCCGCCCCUACUGGGAAGUGAGGACCCCUCUGCCAGGCCAGCCGCCCCG